Molecule: ribosomal RNA, 104 nt
Filed under: uncultured bacterium
Lineage: Bacteria
Description: partial 16S ribosomal RNA
Rfam family: Bacterial small subunit ribosomal RNA
Source: RNAcentral
CCUUGUACACACCGCCCGUCACACCAUGAGAGUUGGUAACACCCGAAGUCCGUGAGGUAACCGUAAGGAGCCAGCGGCCGAAGGUGGGAUCGAUGAUUGGGGUG